Molecule: non-coding RNA, 300 nt
Organism: Pelobates cultripes (western spadefoot toad)
Lineage: Eukaryota; Metazoa; Chordata; Amphibia; Anura; Pelobatidae
Source: the annotation of a GenBank genome assembly
UGUGUGAGUGUGUCUGUGUGAGUGUGUGUGUCAGUGAGUGUGUGUGUCUGUGUGAGUGAGUGUGUGUGUCUGUGAGUGUGUGUGUCAGUGUGAGUGAGUGUGUCUGUGUGAGUGUGUGUGUGUCUGUGUGAGUGAGUGUGUCAGUGAGUGUGUGUGUCUGUGUGAGUGAGUGUGUGUGUCUGUGUGUGAGUGUGUGUGUCAGUGUGAGUGAGUGUGUCAGUGAGUGUGUGUGUCUGUGUGAGUGAGUGUGUGUGUCAGUGUGAGUGAGUGUGUCAGUGAGUGUGUGUCUGUGUGAGUGAG